CAGUAGCCGCGGGAAUACGAAGGGGGCUAGCGUUGCUCGGAAUGACUGGGCGUAAAGGGCGCGUAGGCGGAUUGGAUAGUCAGGCGUGAAAUCCCAAGGCUCAACCUUGGAACUGCCCUUGAUACUGGGUGUCUUGAGUCUGGAAGAGGUGAGUGGAACUGCGAGUGUAGAGGUGAAAUUCGUAGAUAUUCGCAAGAACACCGGUGGCGAAGGCGGCUCACUGGUCCGGAACUGACGCUGAGGCACGACAGCGUGGGGAGCAAACAGGAUUAGAUACCCGGGUAGUCCCUGUCUCUUAUAC
RNAcentral lists this ribosomal RNA (301 nucleotides) under uncultured bacterium. RNAcentral's name for it is "partial 16S ribosomal RNA". It matches the Rfam family "Bacterial small subunit ribosomal RNA", at positions 509 to 807 of the family's 1533-position model. The record is from RNAcentral.